GCGAAUGGCUCAUUAAAUCAGUUAUCGUUUAUUUGAUAGUACCUUUUUACUUGGAUAACCGUGGUAAUUCUAGAGCUAAUACAUGCUAAAAACCCCGACUCCGGGAGGGGUGUAUUUAUUAGAUAAAAAACCAAUGCCCUUCGGGGCUCCUUGGUGAAUCAUGAUAACUUUACGAAUCGCAUGGCCUUGCGCCGGCGAUGGUUCAUUCAAAUUUCUGCCCUAUCAACUUUCGAUGGUAGGAUAGUGGCCUACCAUGGUUUCAACGGGUAACGGGGAAUUAGGGUUCUAUUCCGGAGAGGGAGCCUGAGAAACGGCUACCACAUCCAAGGAAGGCAGCAGGCGCGCAAAUUACCCAAUCCCAACACGGGGAGGUAGUGACAAUAAAUACUGAUACAGGGCUCUUUUGGGUCUUGUAAUUGGAAUGAGUACAAUUUAAAUCCCUUAACGAGGAACAAUUGGAGGGCAAGUCUGGUGCCAGCAGCCGCGGUAAUUCCAGCUCCAAUAGCGUAUAUUAAAGUUGUUGCAGUUAAAAAGCUCGUAGUUGAACCUUGGGCCUGGCUGGCCGGUCCGCCUCACCGCGUGCACUGGUCCGGCCGGGCCUUUCCUUCUGGGGAGCCGCAUGCCCUUCACUGGGUGUGCCGGGGAACCAGGACUUUUACUUUGAAAAAAUUAGAGUGUUCAAAGCAGGCCUAUGCUCGAAUACAUUAGCAUGGAAUAAUAGAAUAGGACGUGCGGUUCUAUUUUGUUGGUUUCUAGGACCGCCGUAAUGAUUAAUAGGGAUAGUCGGGGGCAUCAGUAUUUAAUUGUCAGAGGUGAAAUUCUUGGAUUUAUUAAAGACUAACUACUGCGAAAGCAUUUGCCAAGGAUGUUUUCAUUAAUCAGUGAACGAAAGUUAGGGGAUCGAAGACGAUCAGAUACCGUCGUAGUCUUAACCAUAAACUAUGCCGACUAGGGAUCGGACGGUGUUGUUAUUUUGACCCGUUCGGCACCUUACGAGAAAUCAAAGUUUUUGGGUUCUGGGGGGAGUAUGGUCGCAAGGCUGAAACUUAAAGAAAUUGACGGA
This 1063-nucleotide ribosomal RNA is filed under the name Mycocalicium subtile. Its description in RNAcentral is "SSU rRNA". It matches the Rfam family "Eukaryotic small subunit ribosomal RNA", at positions 89 to 1160 of the family's 1831-position model. The record is from RNAcentral. Lineage: Eukaryota; Fungi; Ascomycota; Eurotiomycetes; Mycocaliciales; Mycocaliciaceae.